ACUUGAAUAGCAAUGGCGUAGUCACCAAACUCAAAGCUGUUGUUCCAAGAAGCAGUAAAUACAAUUUACCCUCAACAAGAUGAAGAUUAGAAGCACGACUUAAGAGAACAAAAGCAAAUUCCCCAAUUUGUGCCAGAGACAUUCCAACAAGAAGCGAAGUUUUAUUGUUGUAUCGAAAUCCCUUGACAACAGUCACAACCACAACAGUUUUUAUGAUAAUCACCAAUAAUACAGCUGCCAGUAAAAUAUCAACAUGAUUCCAUAGGAAAUGAACAUGUAUUAGCAUCCCAAUGCUGGCAAGAAAGAGAGCCGCAAAGAAGUUGCGAAUGGGUUCAACUUGUUCAAGUGUAUGUUGAGCAAGAUCAGUUGUUGAUAUCAUAACUCCAGCAGCAAAAGAUCCCAGUUCAAGGCUCAGACCCAGCUUAUCACUACACCAAGCCACAAGUAAGCAGAAUGCCACUGAUGCCAAUU
This 471-nucleotide unclassified non-coding RNA is filed under the name Hevea brasiliensis (rubber tree). Lineage: Eukaryota; Viridiplantae; Streptophyta; Magnoliopsida; Malpighiales; Euphorbiaceae. The record is from RNAcentral.